RNAcentral lists this non-coding RNA (786 nucleotides) under Ochthebius peisonis. Lineage: Eukaryota; Metazoa; Arthropoda; Insecta; Coleoptera; Hydraenidae. The record is from RNAcentral.
AAAAAAUUUUAUUUUGGUUUAAAAUAUUAGUAAAUAAUUUUAAAAUAUAUGUAAAUUUUUGUGAGAAUUAAUUUAAAUUUUAAAAAUUUAAAUUUUAAAAAUUAUUCGCAGUUUAUAAUUUUUUAUAUUUAAGAAAUUAAGAUUAAGAAAUUUAUUAUAAUAUUAACAAAAUUUGUGCCAGCAGUUGCGGUUAUACAAAUAAUAUAAUUAAUAUUUAUUAAUUAAUAAUUAAUUGUUAUUAUUUUAAAUUAAAUUUAAAUUUAUUAAGUGAAAUUUUAAAUUUAAUUAAUUUUAGAAUAAAAUUUAUGAAGUUAUUAAAUUUUCUUUUAAACUAGGAUUAGAUACCCUAUUAUUAAAAAUGUAAAUAUAAAAAUAUUAAAUUAGUAUUAGUUAUUUUCUUGAAAAUUAAAAAAUUUGGCGGUAUUUUAGUCUUUUCAGAGGAACCUGUUCUAUAAUCGAUAAUCCACGAUUAAAUGUACUUAUUUUAUUAGUUUAUAUAUCGUCGUAGUUUGAAUAUUUUAUAAGAAUAUAAAUAUUCAAAAUUUAAAAUAAUAAAAAAAAUCAGAUCAAGGUAUAGCUUAUGAAUAAGAAGAAAUGGGUUACAAUAAAUUUAUUUAUUAUGGAUAAAAUAUUGUAAAAUAUUUUUGAAAGCGGAUUUGAAAGUAAUAUAAUUAAUUUAAAUUAUAUGAUUUAAGCUCUAAAAUAUGCACAUAUCGCCCGUCGCUCUCGUAUAAAAUGAGAUAAGUCGUAACAAAGUAGAUGUACUGGAAAGUGUAUCUAGAAUGG